Phanerochaete sordida is the source of this 72-nucleotide non-coding RNA. The record is from the annotation of a GenBank genome assembly. Lineage: Eukaryota; Fungi; Basidiomycota; Agaricomycetes; Polyporales; Phanerochaetaceae.
GCCUGGGUAGCUUAAUGGUAGAAGCGCUAAUUUGAAGCAUUGGAGAAAUGAGUUCAAUUCUCUUUCUGGGCA